This is a long non-coding RNA of Pseudoliparis swirei, 541 nucleotides long. RefSeq lists it as uncharacterized. The transcript is spliced from 3 exons. The record is from RefSeq and is a predicted model, not a curated record. NCBI's taxonomy places the organism in Eukaryota, Metazoa, Chordata, Actinopteri, Perciformes, Liparidae.
UCCGCUGGUUCGGGUAGACCUAUUUUGCAUGCAAAUUACAUGAAUAUCUUUAAAUAAAAAUCCAUAUUUUAAAUGAAAUAAUUAAUUUCUACCCAAAUCCUACCAAACUGACUCCAGAUCAGCACGUACACACAUGGACAUGGGACACGCCCACAUACACACACGCACCUAAAGCUCUCGCCGCUCUCAGUCUCCCGCGACCCGCUCGAUCCCAACUCUGGUCUGGUAGUUAGUGUAGCUAGCUACACUGGAGAAACAUGCCACCCGGUAAGUGGGCUAAAUACGGGAAGAAAUAUACAAAAGAAUGGGAAAGUGAAAACGGAAUUAAAGAAUGGAUAGAACGUGUGGCUGGGGAUGAUACCAAAGCUUUUUGUCGGUACUGCAAAACCGAGAUUCGUGCGCACCACAGUGAUCUCCAAAACCACAGCAAAACGGGGAAACACAUUCGAAAUGCUGCUCCGUUCUCCAGUUGUCGAGCAGGGAGGAAGAGAGAAAAGGGAAGAGAAAGCCUCAAGACAAAGCAACAGACCUGGCAACCCUG